AUGUGCAUUUUGUAGGAAGAAAACUGUGAAUGGAAAAAGGAGAAGGGGAGAGAAACAGGGGGGAAAUCUGGAUAAUACAUUAAAGUAACCAUAAUUUUGGAGAUGCAUUCAUCUUAUUGAAAAUAUAUUUCCUCAUGGUUGUGAUUCCUCUUCACUCUUUUGAAUUUGGAAGGAUGGCAUACACAUCUGAAAAAUACCACUACUUCCUUCAUUGGACGGCAAGGUAUUUCUGUUUGGAAAAGUAAUGGAGUCCAGUCAACUUCAUUGAUCUCCAAGGACUGUCAAAAUUAUAAAACUUGCUGUGGAGCUCUGACAUGCCAGAAGCCGCUAGAAAAAGAAGUUUGACAUUCAGAAACUUAUCAAGAGGUUCUACUCUUUGGAUAGAGACCAAAAUCAUACUUUGAAAAAGCCUGACAGGUUUCUUCGGAAAAGUGGCCAUCCAUGGAAUGAAUGAAAUGUUCUCUUUCUAUUCCAAUCCAACUUAGAAAUAAUGUUUCAUUCAAGAUAAGGCUCGUGGUUUAGGAGAUUGUGACCUGGCUUGCAUCAUUCUAAGACUUCUAUCG
Molecule: small RNA, 563 nt
Filed under: Pan troglodytes (chimpanzee)
Lineage: Eukaryota; Metazoa; Chordata; Mammalia; Primates; Hominidae
Description: sense overlapping
Rfam family: SOX2 overlapping transcript exon 2 (bases 406-474)
Source: RNAcentral